Molecule: long non-coding RNA, 2930 nt
Organism: Hyla sarda
Lineage: Eukaryota; Metazoa; Chordata; Amphibia; Anura; Hylidae
Exons: 2
Source: RefSeq, a predicted model, not a curated record
CAAACACAAUUGGACCUAUGUCGCCACCGGCACAUGCACGUGAAACAUGUCGCAUCAGUCCAUGCCAAGCCCCCAUUAAAGAGCCACGUGGUAUGGAUCCAUAAUAUGGAACCCACAGUCUUAACAUUAUCCAGCGGUAUGGUGGAGGAUCCACAACGCAGCAGCACUUUGCAUGCCUACAUGUCCGCAACACUUUACAGCUUGAAUUGAAGAAAUAAGGAAAAAGUGCUAAAGAACGAGUAAAACUCUGUUGAUGUCCUACUCUUUUUAAUACCACAUGUAUUUGCAAUAUAUAUAGAAUUUUGUUCCACAGAAACUUAAAAAAAAAAAAAAAAUUUAAAAGUAAUUAAUUUUUAUUUCAGACAAUCCCCAAAAUAAAAACGAAACACUCUUCUUCCUGCAACAACAAGCUACUUUACAGGCUUACUAGUGAAUACUUCAUCAGCUUGCUCCCUUCUCCAGUCUAAAAGUAACAAUAAAGCAAUUCUCUUAAAACAACAUUAUAGAGUGACACACAGUGAAUAGUUAGAAGCUCAGUGCAACACAAAUCACAUUAAGAAUACAACCCACCCUGCUAGAGAACAAAUGCGCCGUCUAAGUCAGUGUUUCCCAACCAGUGUGCCUCCAGCUGUUGCAAAACUACAACUCCCAGCAUGCCCGGACAGCCAACGGCUUUCCGGGCAUGCUGGGAGUUGUAGUUUUGCAACAGCUGGAGGCACACUGGCUGGGAAACACUGAUCUAAGUCCAGCCUGGUUGACCUCAACACCACAGUGGAUCUCACUCCACGGAGACUUAUACUGGAUCUGGUCUGUCACCCAAUUCCCUUACAAAUAAGUGUCUAGUACCUGUAUGGUGUGAAUAAAGCUGAUUUUUGUUUGACUGUGUGACUUAACCAUUGUAAUGCUGCACAGAUUUUUGGACAAAUUCCCCUAACCCCCGACUCUCCGUGCCGUGUUCCACUGUUGUGCUAAAGUCUAAAAAUACUUAUUUAUCAACUAAAAUCCCAAGGCUGGUUUAUCACGUUAAAUUAAACCCCUAAAAGUGAAUGCCCAUCCUACGAUAGACACUGAUCAUUGGGGGUCCCAUUGGCCGACUGCAUUCAAACAGCAGACAGCAGUCCCCCCCCCCCUCCCCCGUGCUCACAACUGGUGAAUAGGUGACAAGUGUCUAUCAUGGAACAACCUUUUUAUUAUUUUUUUGUUUCAAAAUUCUGCACCAACUUAUUUCUUAUUCUAUCUUUGUCUAUGUAGAAGAUUUGGAGCUCUUACAACUAUAGUGACAACAUGCUGGCUAAUGUGACCACCCCCAGAAGGUGCAUAGGAGCUUACUGCAUUAGACUGUUUACAAUGCGCUUUUAAUAACCAUUUGGGUUGGUAUGCCAAUAUUUUUUUUAGCUAUGGGAUUGUGCAGUCUGCAGAGUUGUUCCAUACAGAGGAAUCCCACAGAAGCACGCAAAACAAACCACUAGGGAAACACUUGGUUCACAUGUGCAGAUUUUCUGCUGCUGAUUUUGUUCACUUCAAUGGGUAGCAAAAUCAGCUGCAGAAAAUCUACAGGAACAUAUGUACACGUCACCAAAAAAAACCCCCAAAAAAAACCACUUUAUAUAUUUUGUUAAUGUAUUAGAAACAACUUUCUAAUACCAGGUGAUUAACAAAAAUGUAUCUUUAUAUAUAUAUAUAUAUUUUUUUACUUUGAAAAACUGACCAGAAAAUGUCCUGGCUCAGUGAUUUUGGACUCAUACCGGCCUGGCAGCAUGAGUCCGAACUCUUAGUGCAGCCGGGACACAAAAGCACAGCGCAGCUCCCUGCCUGUCAAUGCAUGGCAGGCAAGCCCACAGAGCCUGUCAGCAGCCGCCCCCCCCCCCCAGUGAUUAUAAGCACAGUAGCAGGAUCACAUGGCUAACAGCAUCCCCCGCUAACCGGAUUACAAGCAGGGUCCGGAUUAAAAGCAGGCGUCACAAGAAGGGCGGAAGUGAGCCCAGCAGCAGGCGGCAGAAAGAGGGCGGAAGUGAGCCCAGCCAGGCUUCAACUGACGUCAUGCCUGCUGGGCCACUCCCCCUUCCUCUCUCACAGAGGGCAGCAAAAUGAGCAAUUAAUAAGGGAUUGAAAAAGGUCGGAAAAGGGUCCAUGGGUAACAAAAUACGCAAGUGACCUUACCCUUACAGUGGAAUCUAUAAACUGGCAUGUAUGGGGUGGCUAUAUCAAAAGAAAAUCCACUUGCCCGUGUCCGAACUCCACCCUACUGUGAAAACUGACCCCUAUUAGGUUUGCAGUAAGCUCCUAAGCCAGUGUUUCCCAACCAGGGUGCCUCCAGCUGUUGCAAAACUACAAUCUUUUCAGGAUGUGGACAGUCUUCGGCUGAUAAAAACUAAAAUGUUUUUUAUAAUUUGUGAGAAUUUGAAAGUGGAGUUUCUACAUAUUUUUAUGUAUAUUUUUUUAAGUUAAGAACCUGCUCCAGCAUCUUGAGUGGAUCAGUCCUGGAGUGCAGUGUGAGUAUGGAACAAUAUACUACUAAUAUUGUUUGGUUAUUGUGGACUGUGUGUACAUCAAUCUCUCAUCGAGGGACCACAUUACAUUGUUCUUUACAGCAUAGGGAAUGUUCCAUCUCUCCUGCUGCCAAGGAGGGCAAAAGGUACAAAACAAGCACAGGGUGGCAGAGAGGGACACCUUAGAAUCCUUAACAUUGCCAAAAAACAUAAGCAACUCUCCAUAACAUUUUUGUUUUAGUUAUGCCACUUAACACAUUUCUACACUUAAUCUUCAGUAUAGACAUUAAAUAUAAAUUAAAUUCUGCAUUAUUAAAUAAUAAAACUUGGUUGCAGUGUAAGAAACUCCAAUAUAUUGGUUAAUGUGGCAAUAUCUGGAACAGAACAGUGAUCGAACUGAGGAGCUGGUUAGAAACAGACAAGAGAAGACUUUCGAAAGGG